RNAcentral lists this ribosomal RNA (241 nucleotides) under uncultured bacterium. RNAcentral's name for it is "partial 16S ribosomal RNA". It matches the Rfam family "Bacterial small subunit ribosomal RNA", at positions 109 to 334 of the family's 1533-position model. The record is from RNAcentral.
AGUAACACGUAAACAACCUGCCUUCAGGAUGGGGACAACAGACGGAAACGACUGCUAAUACCGAAUAAGUUCCAAGGGCCGCAUGGCCCAUGGAAGAAAAGGUGGCCUCUACCUGUAAGCUAUCGCCUGAGGAGGGGUUUGCGUCUGAUUAGCUGGUUGGGGGGUAACGGCCCACCAAGGCGACGAUCAGUAGCCGGUCUGAGAGGAUGAACGGCCACACUGGAACUGAGACACGGUCCAG